GACGAACGCUGGCGGCGUGCUUAACACAUGCAAGUCGAACGGAAAGGCCCUUCGGGGUACUCGAGUGGCGAACGGGUGAGUAACACGUGGGUGAUCUGCCCUGCACUUUGGGAUAAGCCUGGGAAACUGGGUCUAAUACCGAAUAUGAUCAUCGGCUUCAUGGUCGGUGGUGGAAAGCUUUUGCGGUGUGGGAUGGGCCCGCGGCCUAUCAGCUUGUUGGUGGGGUAAUGGCCUACCAAGGCGACGACGGGUAGCCGGCCUGAGAGGGUGACCGGCCACACUGGGACUGAGAUACGGCCCAGACUCCUACGGGAGGCAGCAGUGGGGAAUAUUGCACAAUGGGCGCAAGCCUGAUGCAGCGAAGCCGCGUGAGGGAUGACGGCCUUCGGGUUGUAAACCUAUUUCAGCACAGACGAAGAGCAAGUGACGGUAUGUGCAGAAGAAGGACCGGCCAACUACGUG
This 462-nucleotide ribosomal RNA is filed under the name uncultured bacterium. Its description in RNAcentral is "partial 16S ribosomal RNA". It matches the Rfam family "Bacterial small subunit ribosomal RNA", at positions 28 to 507 of the family's 1533-position model. The record is from RNAcentral.